GUGGUGUCUGUCUGUAUAAAGGGAAGCCGUUUUUUUUGUUGGUUCAUUCCUCCUGAGCUUCUGGCGCAACACAGCAGUAAAUGCUGGCCUAUUGUUUAAUUUACCGAGACGAUCGGAUCGUGUGACUGCUACAGGUAGGCUUCCUUUUGACCUCUGAUUUCUCUCAGAAGUAGGUAGGUAACUAGUAGUCAUAUUUCUGCGGCCCGCUACAGCACGGCUGUUUCUCUUUUCUUUACUCCAGCCAUGGUGGAGAGACUUAUUUGAGUUGCGUCCACCGUGCAGUAUAGCGCCUCCAGUCUUGGGGGUUUGAUUGGUGCCGCACCCUCUCAGGGACCAACCGCCUGAUUUUAAGCGAAGAGUCGAGACGCCUGCCUAGCUGCUGUCUUGUCUUGUCUUGUUUUGCCUUGUGUUCCGUUCUGCUGGCUGUCCAGUUUUGUUCCUGCUGCUUUGGGUCUCACUCUAAGCCCCUUUUGGAUUAUUGUUUCACUCCAGCUUUCACGGCUGGCUAGGGCGAUCCUCAGCUCCAUAUCGGCCUGGUGUUACAAAACUGGUACUGCCUCCCCAUUUUCUCCCAGUUUGUGGAGAGGUGCACGAGACUGAGUGGGGCUACGGACAAUCGGAACCAGCACCAGCUGAGGGCUGGCUCGCAGAGUGCAAGUAUUUCCAAUCUGUGCUCUGUGGUGUGUAUGUGGGUGUGUUUUAUUAAAGAUUUCAGUUUUUCUUUUAAUUCUCUUUUUUUUUUAAGUAUAUAGAGAGCCCGUUAUUUGAUGUCCCAUGUUUUUAUCCCUUUAAUGUGUAUGUCUUGUGCUUUUAUUUCAGCGAACUGAGGAUCUACCAGCGGCCGUGGGAGCUCAGGUGGCGGGUCGUUUUCCACACUUCCUUUGUUGUACAGCACCGGGUGAAUAGACUAUAGUAGGGUUUUUUUUUUUUUGUGUGUGUGUGGUUUUCUUUUGGUCCACCGCUGCUGGUAAGUCCCAGUUGUAUGUUUAUUUUUUUAUUGUAAUUUGGGACACAGUUUUAGAUGACACUGCAUUCAGUGCGCUGUCAUUGUUGUUUUAUUUUUUACUAAUAAAUAAAAUUGUGUUAAUAUUUGA
Molecule: long non-coding RNA, 1094 nt
Organism: Oreochromis niloticus (Nile tilapia)
Lineage: Eukaryota; Metazoa; Chordata; Actinopteri; Cichliformes; Cichlidae
Exons: 2
Source: RefSeq, a predicted model, not a curated record